CAAUAGCGUAUAUUAAAGUUGUUGCGGUUAAAAAGCUCGUAGUUGGAGUUCUGCCAGGUGCCGCCUGUCCGCCCCAGUGGUGAGUACGUGGCGCGCGUUUGGCCCUUUCAAGGGGAGCGUAUCUGCACUUUAUUGUGUGGUGCGGGAUCCUUGACUUUUACUUUGAGGAAAUAGGAGUGUUCCAAGCAGGCUCUCGUCGUGCAUAGCUCAGCAUGGAAUAAUAGCAUUGGACUUCGUUUCUACGCUGUUGGUUGCAAGAAGCGAGAUAAUGAUUAAUAGGGAUAAUUGGGGGCAUCUGUAUCAACGCGUCAGAGGUGGAAUUCUUGGAUUGCGUUGCGACAAACUACUGCGAAAGCAUUUGCCAAGGAUGUUUUCAUUAA
This 380-nucleotide ribosomal RNA is filed under the name uncultured eukaryote. RNAcentral describes it as "partial 18S ribosomal RNA". It matches the Rfam family "Eukaryotic small subunit ribosomal RNA", at positions 592 to 976 of the family's 1831-position model. The record is from RNAcentral.